This is a non-coding RNA of Pelobates cultripes (western spadefoot toad), 261 nucleotides long. The record is from the annotation of a GenBank genome assembly. NCBI's taxonomy places the organism in Eukaryota, Metazoa, Chordata, Amphibia, Anura, Pelobatidae.
UAUGGUGUGAUGGGAUUCCAGCAUGGUUAAAAUUUAGUAGGCCAAAAUCUCCAUGUGGCAUAUGUGUAUGUUGUGUCAGUUGGUUAGCUACAUGUAGCUAGGAUACUGUCAUCAGUGUACUGAGCAUGUGCAGGAAUGCAGGAACUGAAAUUGCACUUAUUUCCUUUGUCUUGGAUGAGCCAUGUGGUUUGACUAGAUGUACAAGUCUAUAUUCUGCUCAUUGAUUGGUUAAAGGUAUAUGUGGGUGUAGCUAUUAAUGGG